This 253-nucleotide ribosomal RNA is filed under the name uncultured bacterium. RNAcentral's name for it is "partial 16S ribosomal RNA". It matches the Rfam family "Bacterial small subunit ribosomal RNA", at positions 524 to 776 of the family's 1533-position model. The record is from RNAcentral.
UACGUAGGGUGCGAGCGUUGUCCGGAAUUAUUGGGCGUAAAGAGCUCGUAGGCGGUUUGUCACGUCGGAUGUGAAAUCCCGGGGCUUAACUCCGGGCCUGCAUUCGAUACGGGCUGACUAGAGUUCGGCAGGGGAGACUGGAAUUCCUGGUGUAGCGGUGAAAUGCGCAGAUAUCAGGAGGAACACCGGUGGCGAAGGCGGGUCUCUGGGCCGAUACUGACGCUGAGGAGCGAAAGCGUGGGGAGCAAACAGG